Molecule: unclassified non-coding RNA, 91 nt
Filed under: Epilithonimonas lactis
Lineage: Bacteria; Pseudomonadati; Bacteroidota; Flavobacteriia; Flavobacteriales; Weeksellaceae
Description: Chryseobacterium halperniae Flavo-1 RNA
Source: RNAcentral
UUGUCGCAGCCCGACUUGAACGGAGCUCAUUUUUUUUGCGGCUGGAAAAUGCGAUGGCAAAAAAUAGCGGGAGUGGAAGGCGGAAAUAGCU